Molecule: long non-coding RNA, 444 nt
Organism: Pteropus alecto (black flying fox)
Lineage: Eukaryota; Metazoa; Chordata; Mammalia; Chiroptera; Pteropodidae
Exons: 2
Source: RefSeq, a predicted model, not a curated record
GUUCCUUUUCAUCUAGACAGAAGACCUCUCUCUUCGGCAGAAUAGAGGCCAGAGGCUCCUGGACAACACCGAUAUUCACGUGCCCAAGGUUUCCGUACUUGGAGAGCUGAGUAGGUGGAAUGCCUGACCCAAAUGGUCUGUGCUAUCUGAGCUGGUGGGAAAAGGACUUGGAGACAGCGAUUUAAAUAAGGAACGAGGUCCUCCAGGAAGACAGUGCAGAACUGGACAAAGAGCUCUUGCUCCCCACUGUUGAAGGCGGCCUCUUCAGCACGAUGGAAGGCCAGGGUUACUUUGGUUACCUAAAAGACAGCAGCACACUCAGUCAUUGGGGUAGUCUAUCACUAUCAGCAGUGCAUGAAACUAAACAAUGUGCAGCCCUCAAGUUGUCAUGAAGAAAGUCAGUCCAAAUAGUUCAUUAUAUUGCUACCUUUUUUAAAUUCAGAA